UAACCCCUCACUUCCUCUCUCUCUCUCUCUCUCUCUCUCUUUCUUAUCUCUCCCGCCUCCUUGGUCGUCUCCUCUGGUGGCGCCACCGGCGUCACCACUGCCGCUGCCACCACCUCCUCCUCCUUCGCUGCCCUCUUUCUCUUCUCCUAUCUUCACUGAUCUUCACCGGUCGUCUACUUCGUCUUCUCCACUCUCGUCGUCGGUUCCAAAACCCUAACCCUACAAAGGACUACCGCCGGACUCGUCAGAAUGGCGAUCUCGAACGGACUGAUUGCGAUGAGAAAUAUCAGGCAAUCUUCUCUGAUCAGAGCUCUGCACCUGCUUCAGCCUUGAGAAAUGAAAAGAUUGGAUCAAUAUACACCUCUCUUAUCUCAAAUCCAGCCCCAAACUGACAUUGAAGGCCUCAACAUUGCGGAUGAUGUGUCUCAAGCGAGUCGGUCAAUUCUUUUUUGCUGAAAUUCACAAGAGUUGUCAAAACUUUGUCCUCUUUGGAGUUGCCUAGGGCUGUUGCUGUUGCAACUGUGCCAUCUUCACCUAUCUCAGAUGGUGGGCCCCCCUCAUAUGAAAAUCAAGAGAGGACUAAAGUAGGUACUUUUGAUGGAACUGCCAGGCUUAAGUUCAGGAUCCUGCUCAAUAUAUUUCAAUUCAACUAUUGGAGAAAUUAUCUCUUGUGACAACAUUUGCUCGGGAAACAACUUCACAACUUUUCCGAGAUAGUAAUAGUGAUGUUUUUGGUGCUAAUGAGAGGAGGAACCAUGACCAGACUCCCCAUCCUUACCCUAGUAUUGUUGCAUCCAAUGAUGUGGAAGAGGUUCUAAUGAAAUUCCUAUAGCCUCAGAUCCCUUGGAGGCAUGGGAAGUCGCGGUCAUGAAAAGUUCCUUCAAUACCCUCUGGCACUCGACCAUUUCUUUACGCUAUACAACCAAUUUAAGCAACACGCGAACAAUGCUAAUUUAAUGAGGAAAUCGGCUAUUUUUCUUUAUUGGGUUCCCUUGUUUUUCAACUGGAAACAUAGGGUAAAGUGGUUCAAUCUCAUAGAAAAAUUCUCAAAGUAAAACUUUCAAUAUUUUGAAGCCACGUUAAUAUAUGAUGCAAGGAGGGAAGUAUAGCAAAAGAAAGUAGGGCAAAAGAGGAGAAGGAAGCUUGAAUGAGAAAAAGUAUAUUCUAUGCCUGAAAGGUUAGGUUGAGAUGAUAAGGUAAAAGUCCUAGAUAAAAAAGUUCAUGUUAAAUUUCUUUUUGUGCAGAUGGGAAUGUCGGAGUUUUGGUGAAUCGGGAGGCAUUUAUUGGAUCUGUAGAAAUGCCUUGCACCAUUACGGUGAAUAUGUAAAGUCAUAGUAUUUUAUAUUUUUGUUUUUAUUUAUAUAUUAUUUUUUAUUAUUUAUGUAGCAUGUUAAAUUCUUUUAAUAGGUUUUUUUAGAAUAAUAUUUUACUUGGUUGAGCCAGGUGAAAAGAAGGUCGAUCAAGUAGCUAUGGAGGAUUUUUUGUGUUUAUUCUCGGAAAUUAUACCUAUUAAAAGAAUAUGUACGGUGUAGUCAGGGUAUAGUUUUUGGGACUAAACGCAGAAAAUCCUCAAUAGCUACCUGAUCUGCCUCCUUUUCACCUGGUUCAACCUAUUAAAAGAAUUAUUCCAAAAAACCUAUUAAAAGAAUUUAACAAGCUACAUAAAUAAUAAAAAUAAUAUAUAAAUAAAACAAAAAUAUAAAAUACUAUGGAAUUACAUAUUCACCGUAAUGGUGCAAGACAUUUCUACAGAUCCAAUAAAUGUCUCCCGAUUCACCAUAUGUGCACAAAAAGAAGUCUAACAUGAUUUUUUUUUUAAUCUAGGGCUUUUACCUUAUCAUCUCAACCUAACAUUUUUGGCAUGGAAUAUACUUUUUCCCAUUCAGUCUUCUUUAUCCUCUUGUCCUACUUUCUUUUGCUAUCGUUCCCUCUCUCCAUCAUAUAUUAACGUGGCUUCAAAAUAUUGAAAGUUAUGCUUUGAGAAUUUUUCUACGAGAUUGAACCACCUUACCCUAUCUUUUCAGUUGAAAAACAAGGGAGUUCCAUAAAGAAAAAUAGCAUGUUUCCUGUAAGAAGCAAUGCAAGUUCCAAAACUUUGUUUCAGGUAAUAUAUUUAUUUUUUUCUCUUUUUGUUAAGAAGUGCAUUUGUUAGGAAUUUAUAUAUUACCCCCCUAUUAUAAAAAUUGAGAAAAGUAAUAAAUGGGGAAAUUCUAUUUUCACACAUCAACUUUCCUUACUCUACACACUUAAUGAAUUUUUUUCAGAAUCACAAUUUUAUCCUUUAAUAAAAUUACCAUCUCACCCACCACCAUGUCACCUACACAUUUCACAAUUUCUCCAUACACAUCUCACCCACAUAAUUUGAUGAGGGUGUGCACACACUCGUUUUAUGGCUUUUCGUGUUUUUUCUUCAUUGAUGGUGGUUCAAUUGCUAACUCCACAAGAGUCCACAUAAUCUGUAUUUAUUAAACUAUAUGUUUCUGUUUUUUUUUUAGUUUGUGUGUAUCAUUUGUUGGUGUCUACUACAUAAUUUCAUUGAAGUUGUUUGCUGGGAAGGUGUUUUCUGUUAUGGGUCAUCUUUGAAUCUUUCCUAAUUUGGGGUUAAAUUUGGUUUCCAUGAGGUUUUGAGGAGACCCUUCAUGGAUCUAGAAAUUGGGUUUUAUCAGAAUCGUGUUAAGAAAGAAUCUUGGAGGACAGUAUUGAUUUUGGCUUAUCAGAGCCUUGGAGUUUUCUAUGAAUUUUGUCUAAUAUAAUCUGAUGAGAGUGUGCACAUUUUUUUAUUAAAUGGGUAUAUUUGGAAUGUGGGGUGUGUGGAUUGAGAUAAAUACCUAAAAAUCAAAUUGCUAAGUGUGUGGAGUGAGAAAGGAUGUACACAGAGAUAAUGUAGUGUGUGAAAAUAGAAUUUCCCUAAUAAAUGUAUAGCGAUCCCGGUUUUCCUUUUUUGUGUU
Camellia sinensis is the source of this 2948-nucleotide non-coding RNA. NCBI's taxonomy places the organism in Eukaryota, Viridiplantae, Streptophyta, Magnoliopsida, Ericales, Theaceae. The record is from RefSeq and is a predicted model, not a curated record.